Molecule: ribosomal RNA, 511 nt
Filed under: uncultured Glomus
Lineage: Eukaryota; Fungi; Glomeromycota; Glomeromycetes; Glomerales; Glomeraceae
Description: SSU rRNA
Rfam family: Eukaryotic small subunit ribosomal RNA
Source: RNAcentral
AGCAGCCGCGGUAAUUCCAGCUCCAAUAGCGUAUAUUAAAGUUGUUGCAGUUAAAAAGCUCGUAGUUGAAUUUCGGGAUCAAUAUUUCGGUCAUGCCGUUGGUAUGCACUGUUAUCAUUGAUUUCUCACCUUCUAAAGAACCGUAAUGCCAUUAAUUUGGUGUUACGGGGAAUUAGGACUGUUACCUUGAAAAAAUUAGAGUGUUUAAAGCAGGCUCACGCUUGAAUACAUUAGCAUGGAAUAAUGAAAUAGGACAUCCGAUUCUAUUUUGUUGGUUUUUAGGAUCGAUGUAAUGAUUAAUAGGGAUAGUUGGGGGCAUUAGUAUUCAAUUGUCAGAGGUGAAAUUCUUGGAUUUAUUGAAGACUAACUACUGCGAAAGCAUUUGCCAAGGAUGUUUUCAUUAGUCAAGAACGAAAGUUAGGGGAUCGAAGACGAUCAGAUACCGUCGUAGUCUUAACCAUAAACUAUGCCGACUAGGGAUCGGAUGAUGUUAAUUUUUAAUGACUCAUUC